UGAGGAAUAUUGGACAAUGGGUGAAAGCCUGAUCCAGCCAUCCCGCGUGAAGGAUGACGGCCCUACGGGUUGUAAACUUCUUUUGUACAGGAAUAAACCUAGAUACGUGUAUUUAGCUGAAGGUACUGUACGAAUAAGCACCGGCUAACUCCGUGCCAGCAGCCGCGGUAAUACGGAGGGUGCAAGCGUUAUCCGGAUUUAUUGGGUUUAAAGGGUCCGUAGGCGGACCUGUAAGUCAGUGGUGAAAUCUCAUAGCUUAACUAUGAAACUGCCAUUGAUACUGCAGGUCUUGAGUGAAUUUGAGGUAGCUGGAAUAAGUAGUGUAGCGGUGAAAUGCAUAGAUAUUACUUAGAACACCAAUUGCGAAGGCAGGUUACCAAGAUUCAACUGACGCUGAGGGACGAAAGCGUGGGGAGCGAACA
RNAcentral lists this ribosomal RNA (422 nucleotides) under uncultured Chryseobacterium sp. RNAcentral describes it as "bacterial SSU rRNA". It matches the Rfam family "Bacterial small subunit ribosomal RNA", at positions 355 to 774 of the family's 1533-position model. Lineage: Bacteria; Pseudomonadati; Bacteroidota; Flavobacteriia; Flavobacteriales; Weeksellaceae. The record is from RNAcentral.